RNAcentral lists this ribosomal RNA (591 nucleotides) under Carabus monilis. RNAcentral's name for it is "LSU rRNA". It matches the Rfam family "Bacterial large subunit ribosomal RNA", at positions 1921 to 2758 of the family's 2925-position model. The record is from RNAcentral. Lineage: Eukaryota; Metazoa; Arthropoda; Insecta; Coleoptera; Carabidae.
UUUUAAAUGGCCGCAGUAUUUUGACUGUGCAAAGGUAGCAUAAUCAUUAGUUUUUUAAUUAAAAGCUUGUAUGAAAGGCUGGACGAGGUAAAAUCUGUCUCUAUUUAAAUUAUAAUAGAAUUUAACUUUUAAGUUAAAAGGCUUAAAUAGUAUUAAAAGACGAGAAGACCCUAUAGAUCUUUAUAAUUUAUUAAAUAAAAUUAAUUUAGAAGUAUUUAUAUUUUAUUUUAUUAAAUUAUUUUAUUGGGGUAAUAGAAAGAUUGAAUUAAUUCUUUUUUAUAAUAAACAUUAGUUUAUGAAUAUAAAUGAUCCAGUUUUAUUGAUUAUAAGAUUAAGUUACCUUAGGGAUAACAGCGUAAUUUUCUUAAAGAGUUCAUAUCGAUAAGAAAGUUUGCGACCUCGAUGUUGGAUUAAAGAUUAUUUUAGGUGUAGAAGCUUAAUAAUUUUGGUCUGUUCGACCAUUAAAUCUUUACAUGAUCUGAGUUCAGACCGGCGUAAGCCAGGUCGGUUUCUAUCUUUAAUAAAAUAAAAUAUUUUAGUACGAAAGGACCAAAUAUUUAAUAUAUUUAUAUUUAAAUUUAUUGAAUAUUA